Meriones unguiculatus (Mongolian gerbil) is the source of this 1780-nucleotide long non-coding RNA. RefSeq lists it as uncharacterized. NCBI's taxonomy places the organism in Eukaryota, Metazoa, Chordata, Mammalia, Rodentia, Muridae. The record is from RefSeq and is a predicted model, not a curated record. The transcript is spliced from 4 exons.
UAUUCAAGCUCUUCGCCAGAAUUCCGCAUCCGAGGGGAGGUUGCGGGCGUUUCCCCGUCCACUGCUCGUAUGCCUGCCCAGCAGCUCGUGCGUGGGGCCGACCACAGGCAGGGGGAUGGCAGGAAGAGAGAGGCAUAGGCCUCCUCUCCCACUCCAACUGCGUGCAUCCUGGGGAAAUGGGUUAACCCUUCCCAUGACUGAGAUUGUGCACGACCUUGUACUGGGCGCCCUCUGCUGGCCGACAGAUGCUCGAGCAGACAGUGUAUGCAGUGGCAUAUACCGUCUGUAAAAUGCUGUUGAAGAAACCUGAAAUGGGAUCUAAACAAGACAAAAUCAAGGGUGGACUUCUACCAUGCCAGGAUGUUUCUUACUCAUGACCACUGGGAGGCUGUAUGCUGCCUUAGCUGAGCUAACUGGAUGGUUUAUUCAGGAACAUUGAACAAUCCUCGGACCCCGGGGAAAGCCAGCCCACAGCUUAAAUAGCCUCUGGGUAGCCUACCCAGGCGUGCCACGGGGGCAAUGCAGAUAGGUCCACAUACAUGGAAGCAAGCCAGAUCCUCGGCCUUAGCCAAAUGUGGAGUUGUUCGUGACAGAGAGCACUCACCAUCGGGAAGGUGGAAGGCGGAAACCAGCUCCAUCUCUAAGGCAUAGCAUUCCGCAGCUCUCUACAGUUCCCCCUUUUUGUUUUAGACGCAUCAGGCAAGAGUAGAGGUCUGAUCUCUGAUAUUAGAAAUAAUUGUGUUUUGCAUUACUGGGGAAUUUCUGCACUAUGAUUCAAUUUCUUUUUUUUUCUACAGAAAAAUGUCUGAGUCUUUUUUUUUAAUUAGGCAUUUUAAAUUACUUAUAGUUUCUUCACAUUGUAUCUUAGCUGUAGCACCCUUGUUCAUUCCCUCCACAUCUUCCCAUGCUCAUCUCCUCUCAUGCCCCUCUCCAAGUCUUCUGAUAGGGAGGUCCUCCUCCUGUUCCCUCUGAUCCUAGCCUAUCAGUUCUCAUCAGGACUGGCUGCAUUUUAAGUGGACCAGGGACUGCCUCUGACAUUAACUCAGUGGCUGGCUCUUUGAUCACCUCCCCUUAACAGGGAGCAGCCUUACUAGGCCAUAGAGGGAGACAAUGCAGCCAGCCGUGAUGAGACCUGAGCCUUAUGAAAAUACUAAACUUAACUUUAUCUAUCCACUGUUUAAAAAUCUUUGUGACCUGGAGAUUGUUAAGCAGAGUUAAGCAGAGAGAGAGCUGAGGCCAUUAUUUCAGGAGUUUUCUUGGGGUAUAUGAAUUUCUAAACAGUAUAUUGGUGCAGGGUAAACAGAGGCAAUGUGACUACCCUGAGAGGCCUGGAGAUUCAUGUAUAGGUUUAAGAUCUUUUAUUAUAGGCUUAGAGCUUCCUGAAAAUGUAGUUUAAAGAUACAAGGUCACAGAGAGCACACUCCUGACCAAAUAAAACUCAGUAAAUAAGAUAAAUUGACUUAAAUAAACCUUUUCUACUUUGUAGCAUAGAUGGUGAUCCAUAGAUAGAGUGAAGGGAGCUAUUUAUUUGUAUUUGCUAUGCAUAAAGAGAUCAGUUAAAGUGUUUUCUGUUUCUCUGGACUACACUCAUACUGCAAACAAUGGGAGCCUGAAAGCAGGCUUUCACAUAUUAAAUGUGUUUUCUUUGAAGGAGACAUUCUUUAGAUUGUUUAAAGUAGAGUUAUAGGGCCAAUAAUGAUAAUCAAAUAUAUUCCGUGUGUACUGCUUAAAUUGUAACUGAGCUUUUAUCCCUGCAUAAUUAAAAAACAUCAAACACCCA